Oncorhynchus keta (chum salmon) is the source of this 3921-nucleotide long non-coding RNA. RefSeq lists it as uncharacterized. The transcript has 3 exons. The record is from RefSeq and is a predicted model, not a curated record. NCBI's taxonomy places the organism in Eukaryota, Metazoa, Chordata, Actinopteri, Salmoniformes, Salmonidae.
UAAUGUACAUUAUGGUUUAUGUCUAGUUAAAGGGGUGACUAAUGUAAUGUACAGUAUGGUUUAUGUCUAGUUAAAGGGGUGACUAAUGUAAUGUACAGUAUGGUUUAUGUCUAGUUAAAGGUGUGACUAAUGUAAUGUACAGUAUGGUUUAUGUCUAGUUAAAGGUGUGACUAAUGUAAUGUACAGUAUGGUUUAUAUCUAGUUAAAGGUGUGACUAAUGUAAUGUACAGUAUGGUUUAUAUCUAAGGUUAAAGGUGUGACUAAUGUAAUGUACAGUAUGGUUUAUGUCUAGUUAAAGGUGUGACUAAUGUAAUGUACAGUAUGGUUUAUAUCUAGUUAAAGGUGUGACUAAUGUAAUGUACAGUAUGGUUUAUAUCUAAGGUUAAAGGUGUGACUAAUGUAAUGUACAGUAUGGUUUAUGUCUAGUUAAAGGUGUGACUAAUGUAAUGUACAGUAUGGUUUAUGUCUAGUUAAAGGUGUGACUAAUGUAAUGUACAGUAUGGUUUAUGUCUAGUUAAAGGUGUGACUAAUGUAAUGUACAGUAUGGUUUAUGUCUAGUUAAAGGUGUGACUAAUGUAAUGUACAGUAUGGUUUAUGUCUAGUUAAAGGUGUGACUAAUGUAAUGUACAGUAUGGUUUAUGUCUAAAGUUAAAGGUGUGACUAAUGUAAUGUACAGUAUGGUUUAUGUCUAGUUAAAGGUGUGACUAAUGUAAUGUACAGUAUGGUUUAUGUCUAGUUAAAGGUGUGACUAAUGUAAUGUACAGUAUGGUUUAUGUCUAGUUAAAGGUGUGACUAAUGUAAUGUACAGUAUGGUUUAUGUCUAGUUAAAGGUGUGACUAAUGUAAUGUACAGUAUGGUUUAUGUCUAAAGUUAAAGGUGUGACUAAUGUAAUGUACAGUAUGGUUUAUGUCUAGUUAAAGGUGUGACUAAUGUAAUGUACAGUAUGGUUUAUGUUUAGUUAAAGGUGUGACUAAUGUAAUGUACAGUAUGAUUUAUGUCUAGUUAAAGGGGUGACUAAUGUAAUGUACAGUAUGGUUUAUGUCUAGUUGAAGGUGUGACUAAUGUAAUGUACAGUAUGGUUUAUGUCUAGUUAAAGGUGUGACUAAUGUAAUGUACAGUAUGGUUUAUGUCUAAAGUUAAAGGUGUGACUAAUGUAAUGUACAGUAUGGUUUAUGUCUAGUUAAAGGGGUGACUAAUGUAAUGUACAGUAUGGUUUAUGUCUAGUUAAAGGUGUGACUAAUGUAAUGUACAGUAUGGUUUAUGUCUAGUUAAAGGUGUGACUAAUGUAAUGUACAGUAUGGUUUAUGUCUAGUUAAAGGUGUGACUAAUGUAAUGUACAGUAUGGUUUAUGUCUAGUUAAAGGUGUGACUAAUGUAAUGUACAGUAUGGUUUAUGUCUAGUUAAAGGUGUGACUAAUGUAAUGUACAGUAUGGUUUAUGUCUAAAGUUAAAGGUGUGACUAAUGUAAUGUACAGUAUGGUUUAUGUCUAAAGUUAAAGGUGUGACUAAUGUAAUGUACAGUAUGGUUUAUGUCUAGUUAAAGGUGUGACUAAUGUAAUGUACAGUAUGGUUUAUGUCUAGUUAAAGGUGUGACUAAUGUAAUGUACAGUAUGGUUUAUGUCUAGUUAAAGGUGUGACUAAUGUAAUGUACAGUAUGGUUUAUGUCUAGUUAAAGGUGUGACUAAUGUAAUGUACAGUAUGGUUUAUGUCUAGUUAAAGGUGUGACUAAUGUAAUGUACAGUAUGGUUUAUGUCUAAAGUUAAAGGUGUGACUAAUGUAAUGUACAGUAUGGUUUAUGUCUAAAGUUAAAGGUGUGACUAAUGUAAUGUACAGUAUGGUUUAUGUCUAGUUAAAGGUGUGACUAAUGUAAUGUACAGUAUGGUUUAUGUCUAGUUAAAGGUGUGACUAAUGUAAUGUACAGUAUGGUUUAUAUCUAAGGUUAAAGGUGUGACUAAUGUAAUGUACAGUAUGGUUUAUAUCUAGUUAAAGGUGUGACUAAUGUAAUGUACAGUAUGGUUUAUAUCUAGUUAAAGGUGUGACUAAUGUAAUGUACAGUAUGGUUUAUAUCUAGUUAAAGGUGUGACUAAUGUAAUGUACAGUAUGGUUUAUAUCUAAGGUUAAAGGUGUGACUAAUGUAAUGUACAGUAUGGUUUAUGUCUAGUUAAAGGUGUGACUAAUGUAAUGUACAGUAUGGUUUAUGUCUAGUUAAAGGUGUGACUAAUGUAAUGUACAGUAUGGUUUAUGUCUAGUUAAAGGUGUGACUAAUGUAAUGUACAGUAUGGUUUAUGUCUAGUUAAAGGUGUGACUAAUGUAAUGUACAGUAUGGUUUAUGUCUAGUUAAAGGUGUGACUAAUGUAAUGUACAGUAUGGUUUAUGUCUAGUUAAAGGUGUGACUAAUGUAAUGUACAGUAUGGUUUAUGUCUAAAGUUAAAGGUGUGACUAAUGUAAUGUACUGUAUGGUUUAUGUCUAGUUAAAGGUGUGACUAAUGUAAUGUACAGUAUGGUUUAUAUCUAAGGUUAAAGGUGUGACUAAUGUAAUGUACAGUAUGGUUUAUGUCUAGUUAAAGGUGUGACUAAUGUAAUGUACACUAUGGUUUAUGUAUAAAGUUAAAGGUGUGACUAAUGUAAUGUACAGUAUGGUUUAUAUCUAAGGUUAAAGGUGUGACUAAUGUAAUGUACAGUAUGGUUUAUGUCUAGUUAAAGGUGUGACUAAUGUAAUGUACAGUAUGGUUUAUGUCUAGUUAAAGGUGUGACUAAUGUAAUGUACAGUAUGGUUUAUAUCUAAGGUUAAAGGUGUGACUAAUGUAAUGUACAGUAUGGUUUAUGUCUAGUUAAAGGUGUGACUAAUGUAAUGUACAGUAUGGUUUAUGUCUAGUUAAAGGUGUGACUAAUGUAAUGUACAGUAUGGUUUAUAUCUAAGGUUAAAGGUGUGACUAAUGUAAUGUACAGUAUGGUUUAUGUCUAGUUAAAGGUGUGACUAAUGUAAUGUACAGUAUGGUUUAUGUCUAGUUAAAGGUGUGACUAAUGUAAUGUACAGUAUGGUUUAUGUCUAGUUAAAGGUGUGACUAAUGUAAUGUACAGUAUGGUUUAUAUCUAAGGUUAAAGGUGUGACUAAUGUAAUGUACAGUAUGGUUUAUGUCUAGUUAAAGGUGUGACUAAUGUAAUGUACAGUAUGGUUUAUGUCUAGUUAAAGGUGUGACUAAUGUAAUGUACAGUAUGGUUUAUAUCUAAAGUUAAAGGUGUGACUAAUGUAAUGUACAGUAUGGUUUAUGUCUAGUUAAAGGUGUGACUAAUGUAAUGUACAGUAUGGUUUAUGUCUAGUUAAAGGUGUGACUAAUGUACAGUAUGGUUUAUGUCUAGUUAAAGGUGUGACUAAUGUAAUGUACAGUAUGGUUUAUGUCUAGUUAAAGGUGUGACUAAUGUAAUGUACAGUAUGGUUUAUGUCUAGUUAAAGGUGUGACUAAUGUAAUGUACAGUAUGGUUUAUGUCUAGUUAAAGGUGUGACUAAUGUAAUGUACAGUAUGGUUUAUGUCUAGUUAAAGGUGUGACUAAUGUAAUGUACAGUAUGGUUUAUGUCUAGUUAAAGGUGUGACUAAUGUAAUGUACAGUAUGGUUUAUAUCUAAAGUUAAAGGUGUGACUAAUGUAAUGUACAGUAUGGUUUAUGUCUAGUUAAAGGUGUGACUAAUGUAAUGUACAGUAUGGUUUAUGUCUAGUUAAAGGUGUGACUAAUGUAAUGUACAGUAUGGUUUAUGUCUAGUUAAAGGUGUGACUAAUGUAAUGUACAGUAUGGUUUAUGUCUAGUUAAAGGUGUGACUAAUGUAAUGUACAGUAUGGUUUAUGUCUGAAGUUGAAGGUGUGACUAAUGUAAUGUACAGUAUGGUUUAUGUCUAGUUAAAGGUGUGACUAAUGUAAUGUACAGUA